UUUGUUUUUUAAUAAAAACUAGAAUGAAAGGUUAUACAUUCAAAUUUCUUUAUUAAUUUUUAAUAAAUAAUUUAUACUAAAUAUAAAAAUAUAUUUAUAAAAAAAAAAGACGACAAGACCCUAUUAAAUUUUACUUAUAGUUUAGCUGGGGAAGCUUUUCAAUUAAAAUUUUUUAAAAUCUUAAAAUAAAUAUCUAAUUAAAAUUAAAAUUUAAAUAAAUUACUAUAGGGAUAACAGCAUUAUAUUUUUUAAAAGUUCAUAUUAAAAAAAAUGAUUGUGACCUCGAUGUUGAAUUAUAUUUUCUAUAUUUAAUGCAAUAAUUAUAAAAGUAGAUCUGUUCGAUCUUUAAAAUAUUACAUGAUUUGAGUUCAAACCGGUGUAAACCAGGUUGGUUUCUAUCUUUUUACAUAUUUUUCCAGUACGAAAGGACAAAAAAAUUUUUAUUUUAAUAAAUUAGCAAAUAAAUGCAUUAGAUUUAGAAUCUAAAUAUAUUUAAAUU
RNAcentral lists this unclassified non-coding RNA (499 nucleotides) under Anelosimus studiosus. RNAcentral's name for it is "partial contains 16S ribosomal RNA and tRNA-Leu (trnL)". The stretch from base 104 to 404 matches the Rfam family "Bacterial large subunit ribosomal RNA", at positions 2074 to 2646 of the family's 2925-position model. The record is from RNAcentral. Lineage: Eukaryota; Metazoa; Arthropoda; Arachnida; Araneae; Theridiidae.